UUCAAAAUUGCUUUCCUUUCCUAUUCUCAAGUUCCUAGGUCCAAUGCCAGUAACACCUGGUUUCCAGCUUGGAAGGGGAAUAUUUCCAAUAAAGCCCAGAUAUUUUCAUCCGGUUUGUAUGAUUGAAUGAAAGCAUUUCUAAUUCCCAUGGGGAUGCAACCUCUCACAGAAGAUGCUUUUCAUUGUAGCCCAGGGAGAAAGCUGCAUAGAAACUACUUGACAGUAUUCUUAUGUGUCGGUAACAUCAGAUUUCCAAGAAACAACAGGUUUUCAGAUUUAUUAUUCACCUCUCAUGAAGAAACUCAAGGAUACCUAAACCUAAAAGGUUUUUUAUUUGACAUCUUUCUUUCAAGGCAACAGCUCUGCUGCAGUCUGGUUAGUACGCACAUGCUUAUUAGUGGUAGCUUUUGGUGAAAACAUGGUUAUCAAAAAGGCUGAUAUAUAGUGAAGAGCAGCUGCUCCAAAUCACCAACUAUUCAUAAAUAGCUUUCCCCCCCCGACUAGAGUGAGGCCCUCUAUUCUCAAGUUAUAACACUCAGCAGAAAAUUAAGACCCUGUAGGAUGAUAAAUAGUUGAGAAAAUAUUUCUCCCUUGUGUUUGAAUGUUGUCUUGUAACGCAGUGCACUUUCACUGAACCAGAAUUUGUCUGUCAUAAAAAGAUAUUGGGGAAAAUGUUUAGAUUCUCCUUGAAUCCUAGAACUUAGAAGGAAUGUUCUGGUUUCACUGUUAAAAGGUUAAUCGCUGAGUCUAUGUCAUAGGCUUCAUUCUGUACAAUGAGAGUUUCUGGUCCUAUGUCCCCAGUAAGCAGUUACAGUUUUUAACGCAUAAAAGCAGGAGAUUUUUUUCUCCCUAAUUUAAAAUAACAGUCAUAUAAAUUUCUUGGCAAUCAGCAUGUGAUGGCUUCUAAAAAUCCUGUAAUUGUGUCAUUUUUUUAAAGUCAUCAAAAAAGGAAAGAUCACUUCUUUCAGCUGCCUUUUGGUGUAAAACUAUCUUUUCUAUAUAUACAGGGAGUAACUGCUAUUGCUCCUGGUAAUUAUGCUGAUAUAUUUUCUGAUUAUUAUCUUUUUAUACAUUAUAUUGAUCAUAUUCCUAGAGGUACUCUGAACUUGCAGUGUCCUUCCUUAUAAAAGGAAAUGAAGGCAUCACAGAAAUAAUUUCAGAAUUUUCCCAGGACCUGUUGAGAUGGAAGUGAACUCGAAAUGAACCAUGAGAGUAAACGGUCAGUUUUAGACUGCAGCGUUUUCCUUGAAUCAGCUUGGUUCUGCUGCAAGUUAACUGAAUGUCAGUCUCCCCUGUAGGUGACUUUUCUCAAACUAUAAGUAAUCAUCAAUAGCUACAGAAGAAGAUCUCAGUUGUAAAUGGCUUGACUGAGUCUAGAAGACAAGACUUCACCCCGACCGACUGAUGUCUCCGAAGUCCCUGAGAGUUUACCUGUUCUUUCAAGUGCACGCACGAAACAGAGGAUGUGGGCUUGUUUUCUGUGGUCUGAGUCUUUCCCAGAACAGAUGAGGCUUUUGCUUAUCUGGGUCGGGAGAGUCCUGAGGACUCCCACCUUGACAUUGCAAUGAAAACUUACCCUUCAAUCUCUAAAUUCUCUCCUGUGGCACAAUAAAUUAGAAAAGCCUGCCGUUCCCUGUGGUAGGCUUAUCGUGUGCCCCACGUUAGAUUCCUAUCCAGAAAUAAUCUCUUCUCUGGUGCAGAAGGACGAUGAUGAGUCCCAGAUGUUUCUGCAAGACAGUCAUCCCCAGACAGAGCAGCUCACAUCAGGGGAACCAGCGGGCAGAGAGCAAUGUGCUUUCUUUCUCUCUCUUUUCCCUUCCUUCCAUUUUCUUCCCUCCCUCCCUUCCCUCUCCUCCUGAUCCUUCUUUCUCUCCAGACAUGCACACACUUACCUCUUUUUCUUUCUUUCUUUUCUAAAGGAUCUAGGAGGUUUGAAGGUUGACUAAUAACCUCGCUUUAUGGAAUAAUUUGCUCCACAUUUCAGUAACUACAACUGGCACUGAGCACUAAAAGGCCACGGCUGGCUGGAGAUAUUUCCAGGUGGCCAACGUGGACAUCCCCCAGGAAGGCAGAGGGGACUGUGGGGCAAGCAGCACCUCAGGGCGGUGGCCCGCAGCCCAUUCCUAGCUCUCCUCACGGCUGGGUUCCUGCAAUUCUAUUUUGGAGAUAAGAGCUGUGGUUGAUUCCUUCCUACGCACUUUAUCCCUUGUUGACUUAAAAAUCACAGGGAAAGCUAACAGAGCUCCCUAGAAAAUUCCAGAAAGUCUCUAGCUGCAUUAGGGAAAGUGAACUUGACGAUAAUGGAACCUCACUUAUUUCUCUAAUACUACGUGGGCACUUUUCAUAGACUGGAGAUGCGGACCGUCAGGAUGAAGUCAUCACCCAGUUGUGCAGAGCACACGGUCCUUACUCAUGGUACAAAUCAAGAAGGACUGUGAGCCCAGCUACAAAUCCAAACCUGUGUAGCUGUGACGCACGUGUGCAGCGGCCCGUUGGUAGAAAGUACUCCCGGCAGGGCUGAUCUCAGGCUGCCAGCAUGAUGUCACGCUGCGGGGUCUGGACGAGAUGGGGGUCAUCUGCCCUUGGGGCCGUGGCCUUGGGCAAGCACUGCUAGGUUCUGCAGUGCUGGGUCCCACGAGCCUGCAAGGCGCGGGAGGAGCAGGGCGGCCGCAGAUGGGCUACAGGGCUUACUGGGGCUGUGGAGUUCAUACAACACUUUUCUAAGUGCAAGGCUGGCUCUCGUAUUGCUCUCAAGCUUCAUCCACCUGGGACGUGCUGGCAUCUAUCUUUCUCAAGGCAUUUCCCAAACUAAACUAGAGAAUGAAUAUAGUAAGGGGGGACAGUGAGUGCACGACAGGGCACCCCCCCACGCUGCUCCACUAGCGCAGACCUGCUGCAUCGCCUUAGCGCUGUAAACACUGCCUUCCUCUCUGCGGUCUCCCUAACUGCAGGGCUGCUGACGGCGGCCGGAGACUGCAUUGCCCCCGGACCUGGGGUGACCUCCCAGCAGUCGGCCUCACCGCUCUUCCAGCCGGCCCCCUGUGCUCCUGUCCUAGCCAGUCGUAGCCUGUUGGGCAGAAGGUCCCUCCAGCCCUGUUGACUUUCUGGAGCCCCGAGGCCCCGGCCACAGCGCCUCCUGCUCUGCACCCAGAUGGCACCCAAGCCUGUCCCGCCUCCACGACACGCUCAAGGUUCCGGACUGUGUGUUCACCCACUGGCCAAGCCAUGCACAGGAAAGUUCUGAUCGCGUGCCUUCAUGCCCACCCCAGAUGUCCGAGACUGGGGAAGCUGAGUGCGGUCUGCCCCCUGCGGCAUGAAGCGCUGAUCUAAGUGUCAGGAUCAAGGCCGGCUCACAUGUCGCAAUCCUUGGCUUUUAAAGAGUAGCUUCAUGAACUGAAGAUCGGAGGUGGGUGGCCUAAGGGGGAAAGUUUG
Molecule: long non-coding RNA, 3432 nt
Organism: Manis pentadactyla (Chinese pangolin)
Lineage: Eukaryota; Metazoa; Chordata; Mammalia; Pholidota; Manidae
Exons: 4
Source: RefSeq, a predicted model, not a curated record